UACGUAGGGGGCUAGCGUUGUCCGGAUUUAUUGGGCGUAAAGAGCGUGUAGGCGGCUAGGUAGGUCCGUUGUGAAAACUCGAGGCUCAACCUCGAGACGCCGGUGGAAACCAUCUAGCUAGAGUCCGGAAGAGGAGAGUGGAAUUCCUGGUGUAGCGGUGAAAUGCGCAGAUAUCAGGAAGAACACCCGUGGCGAAGGCGGCUCUCUGGGACGUGACUGACGCUGAGACGCGAAAGCGUGGGGAGCGAACAGG
RNAcentral lists this ribosomal RNA (253 nucleotides) under uncultured bacterium. Its description in RNAcentral is "partial 16S ribosomal RNA". It matches the Rfam family "Bacterial small subunit ribosomal RNA", at positions 524 to 776 of the family's 1533-position model. The record is from RNAcentral.